This 625-nucleotide long non-coding RNA is filed under the name Marmota monax (woodchuck). Lineage: Eukaryota; Metazoa; Chordata; Mammalia; Rodentia; Sciuridae. The record is from RNAcentral.
AUUGACAUUAAAAAGUGUUGGUGAGGAUACAGAGAAAUUGGAACCCUCAUCCACUGCUGGUGGGAAUGUGAAAUACUGCAGUUGCUUUGGAAAAUAAUCCAUCAGGUCCUCAAAAGGUUAAACAUAGAAUUACCAAAUGACACAGCAAAUUCUACUCCUACUGAAGAUAAAUAAAAAUAUGUACACAGAAGACCCCAUGCACAAAUGUUCACUGCAAUGUUAUUGAUAACAGUCAAAAAGUAAAAACAGUACAUCAGCUGCUGAGGGGAUAAAUAAAAUGUGGCCCAUCCAUACAGUGAAAUAUUAUUAGGACAUAAAAAGGAAUGAAGCAUUAAUACAUGCUACAACAUGGAUGAAACUUGAAAACAUUAUGCUAAGUGAAAGAAGGCAGACACAAAAGAUCACAUAAGAUUCCACUUCAUGAAACUUCUAGAAUAGGUAAAUCUAUAGAGCUUGAAAGUGGAUUAGUCUUUAACCUGGCCUAUAGUGGGAUGAGGGAAUUGGGAGAAAGCAGGUGGUGAUUACUAAUGGAUAUGUUUCUCUUAAGGUUGAUGAAAUGUUCUAAAAUCGUGGUGAUAUUUGUACACCUUUGUGAGUACACUAAAAAGCAUUGAACUGUGCACUU